RNAcentral lists this ribosomal RNA (644 nucleotides) under Cupriavidus sp. Is-D317. RNAcentral's name for it is "bacterial SSU rRNA". It matches the Rfam family "Bacterial small subunit ribosomal RNA", at positions 84 to 724 of the family's 1533-position model. Lineage: Bacteria; Pseudomonadati; Pseudomonadota; Betaproteobacteria; Burkholderiales; Burkholderiaceae. The record is from RNAcentral.
CCUGGUGGCGAGUGGCGAACGGGUGAGUAAUACAUCGGAACGUGCCCUGUAGUGGGGGAUAACUAGUCGAAAGAUUAGCUAAUACCGCAUACGACCUGAGGGUGAAAGCGGGGGACCGCAAGGCCUCGCGCUACAGGAGCGGCCGAUGUCUGAUUAGCUAGUUGGUGGGGUAAAAGCCUACCAAGGCGACGAUCAGUAGCUGGUCUGAGAGGACGAUCAGCCACACUGGGACUGAGACACGGCCCAGACUCCUACGGGAGGCAGCAGUGGGGAAUUUUGGACAAUGGGGGCAACCCUGAUCCAGCAAUGCCGCGUGUGUGAAGAAGGCCUUCGGGUUGUAAAGCACUUUUGUCCGGAAAGAAAUGGCUCUGGUUAAUACCCGGGGUCGAUGACGGUACCGGAAGAAUAAGCACCGGCUAACUACGUGCCAGCAGCCGCGGUAAUACGUAGGGUGCGAGCGUUAAUCGGAAUUACUGGGCGUAAAGCGUGCGCAGGCGGUUUUGUAAGACAGGCGUGAAAUCCCCGAGCUCAACUUGGGAAUGGCGCUUGUGACUGCAAGGCUAGAGUAUGUCAGAGGGGGGUAGAAUUCCACGUGUAGCAGUGAAAUGCGUAGAGAUGUGGAGGAAUACCGAUGGCGAAGGCAG